GAUGAACGCUGGCGGCGUGCCUAAUACAUGCAAGUCGAGCGAACGGACGAGAAGCUUGCUUCUCUGAUGUUAGCGGCGGACGGGUGAGUAACACGUGGAUAACCUACCUAUAAGACUGGGAUAACUUCGGGAAACCGGAGCUAAUACCGGAUAAUAUUUUGAACCGCAUGGUUCAAAAGUGAAAGACGGUCUUGCUGUCACUUAUAGAUGGAUCCGCGCUGCAUUAGCUAGUUGGUAAGGUAACGGCUUACCAAGGCAACGAUGCAUAGCCUACCUGAGAGGGUGAGCGGCCACACUGGAACUGAGACACGGUCCAGACUCCUACGGGAGGCAGCAGUAGGGAAUCUUCCGCAAUGGGCGAAAGCCUGACGGAGCAACGCCGCGUGAGUGAUGAAGGUCUUCGGAUCGUAAAACUCUGUUAUUAGGGAAGAACAUAUGUGUAAGUAACUGUGCACAUCUUGACGGUACCUAAUCAGAAAGCCACGGCUAACUACGUG
Molecule: ribosomal RNA, 497 nt
Filed under: uncultured bacterium
Lineage: Bacteria
Description: partial 16S ribosomal RNA
Rfam family: Bacterial small subunit ribosomal RNA
Source: RNAcentral